Sparus aurata (gilthead seabream) is the source of this 2154-nucleotide long non-coding RNA. NCBI's taxonomy places the organism in Eukaryota, Metazoa, Chordata, Actinopteri, Spariformes, Sparidae. The record is from Ensembl.
GUAUAACAUAUAUUUAAAAGACCAUCAGUUCUGUCUGACCUUGUUUUUCUCCACUAAAAACUGACUUCCUGCUAAAUGUGUGACAGAAACAGUGACAGACAGCAAAGAGGAAGGAGGAGGGUGGACUUGGUCUGACUGCUACAUGCUGCUGAGCUCAGAUGACCAGGACUCAACAUGGAGGAAUCAUGUCUGCUGUGGCUGCUCGUUGUGACGUCACUGCUGAGCGGCUGCACACACCAAGCCUCUCUGAAGAUCAGUCCUCACAGAUCUCAGCUGUUUGUAGGAGAGUCUGUCUCUCUGAGGUGUGAGGAGGACGACAGCUCUGAUGGAUGGACGGUGACGAGGAACACGACUGAAGGAACCAGGACUCAGUGUGGAGCUGACUGGGGAAGAAAAGAUGGUUCUUCCUGUAACAUCAGCUACACCUUCACAUGGGACAGUGGAGUUUACUGGUGUGAGUCCACAGGCGGAGCAGCCAGUAGCAGCAUCAACAUCACUGUCACUGGUAAGAUGAGGCUGUUGUAACUCCAGCAGGUCUGAACACUGAGUCUGUCUUUCACCUUUUCACUUUGGCUGAGCCUGAGAGAGACAAAGACAAGAAGACAGACAGGUGACCUUCAGGAGGCAACAACACUGGGUGGAGCACUGAGUCUGCCUCCUCAACAUGUUGUUCAUCUGUCAGUCUGACAUUAUGUUCAACAUGUAGAGAUGAUAAAUCAGCUCCAUGUGCUAAAUGUUUCUCCAGAGAGAUUGUUGUGAUGAAGUGUUGCUGAGUACAGGACAGGACAGUGAGACUGCUUGUGUGAGUCAGAGGAUCCAUCAAGCUGAGUUUGAUGCUGUGAAAUCACACUUUAACCUGCCCAUGUUAGCAGCACACGUUAGUCAACACACUGUCUGUUUCUACUGAUCACAACAUCACCAGACUCCCUUAACAAAUGUACUGAUUUAAGAGUUGUUGAGUGAGGAGAGACUCGACAAACUUUGUGAAACACAACGACAAAUUCUGAAUGAUUGGAGCUUCUUGUGGAUUCAGCAUUAAAUGAGCAGGUGUCCAUGUUGUUCAUCAGUUGUGUUUCAGGGUUUCAUCUCCAUGUGAAGCUCUUUAAACUGUGCUUGUGUGACUGUAACUUGAACUAGAGCUGAGCUGAGCUGUGUUCACACAUGAGCAUGUUACACUACGGUGGCCCUGAGGGCUCAAUGCAUCGCACCAAACAGACAAAACAAAGCAAAGAAGAAAACAUCUUCAUCAGUUUGACCAGCACAACCAAACACCUGAUGCUGUCCUGUUGUCAGAGUGAUGAAGAUGAUGAAGAGGAGAUAUGUUUGUGUUCUGUCUUUUUAAGCUGAGCCUUCAGAACCGCCCUGCAACGACCCGGUUCUACUGCAGCAGAGGACGAGACGACACCACAAACUUUAUGUCCCCGGUCACUGCAGCACUGGGUACAAUGUACCAGUAGCUACAUGCUAACAGGCUAAUCUAACCUGUAGAAACAUGAGGUUAUCUGUUGUGUAGCUGUGACAGGCUGCUACCUGCAUCCUGUCAUCACCUUCACACUCACAACAGGAACACACAACUGGAAUAACAUGUUUGUCUGUGUGUUGAGGUGGAGCAGUGAUCCUGCAGAGUCCUGUCCUCCCUGUGAUGGAGGGAGAUGAUGUCACUCUCACCUGUACAACAAACACCUCCAACCUCCCAGCUGCUUUCUAUAAAGAUGGCUCCUUCAUCAGGACUGAGCCUACAGGUCACAUGACCAUCCACCAUGUUUCCAGGUCUGAUGAAGGACUCUACAAGUGUAACACCAUCAGUGAUGGAGAGUCUCCACCCAGCUGGAUCUCUGUCACAGGUCAGCAGGUUCAACUUAAGUCUACAAUAAAAAUGUCAGCAGAGACAGAGACAGCCUGUCUCCAGAGUCAGUGUUGGCAUCCAAUGUUUAACAUUUCUAUGUUUCAUACGUAGCAGAUAAAACUUUACAUGUCUUUAUGUUUUAGAUUAGUUUUGUCUUUAAUACCAAAGCUGGAAAACCUGACAUCUUGUUAAAGUAUAAUAUUGAACCAUCAUGUGUAGGCCUGGGACGAUAACACAUUUUGCUAGACGAUAUAUUGUCCCACAAAUUAUUGAUGAUAAACGAUAUUAUUGUCGACAUUAUCGAGACC